RNAcentral lists this ribosomal RNA (254 nucleotides) under uncultured bacterium. RNAcentral's name for it is "partial 16S ribosomal RNA". It matches the Rfam family "Bacterial small subunit ribosomal RNA", at positions 524 to 776 of the family's 1533-position model. The record is from RNAcentral.
UACAGAGGGGGCAAGCGUUGUUCGGAAUUACUGGGCGUAAAGGGCGCGUAGGCGGCCUGCUAAGUCGAACGUGAAAUCCCCGGGCUUAACCCGGGAACUGCGUCCGAUACUGGCUGGGCUUGAAUCCGGGAGAGGGAUGUGGAAUUCCAGGUGUAGCGGUGAAAUGCGUAGAUAUCUGGAGGAACACCGGUGGCGAAGGCGACAUCCUGGACCGGUAUUGACGCUGAGGCGCGAAAGCUAGGGGAGCAAACGGG